CGUCAUUUGCUCCCUCAAGCUUGGCUUGGUCUUGGGCGCGCGUCUCGCGAGACGGCCCCGAAAAUCAGUGGCAGUGCGGUGCAGCUGCGAGCGUAGUAGUUAAUCACCCCCCGCUCCGCACGCUGCAUGGCGCCCGCCAGUCAACCUGUAGAUUUUUACCAGUUGACCUCGGAUCAGAUAGGGAUACCCGCUGAACUUAA
RNAcentral lists this unclassified non-coding RNA (200 nucleotides) under soil metagenome. RNAcentral describes it as "partial contains internal transcribed spacer 2 and large subunit ribosomal RNA". The record is from RNAcentral.